UACGUAGGGGGCAAGCGUUGUCCGGAAUUAUUGGGCGUAAAGCGUCCGCAGGUGGCAGUUCAAGUCUGCUGUCAAAGACCGGGGCUUAACUUCGGAAAGGCAGUGGAAACUGAACAGCUAGAGUAUGGUAGGGGCAGAGGGAAUUCCUGGUGUAGCGGUGAAAUGCGUAGAGAUCAGGAAGAACAUCGGUGGCGAAGGCGCUCUGCUGGACCAUAACUGACACUCAGGGACGAAAGCUAGGGAGCGAAUGGG
Molecule: ribosomal RNA, 252 nt
Filed under: uncultured bacterium
Lineage: Bacteria
Description: partial 16S ribosomal RNA
Rfam family: Bacterial small subunit ribosomal RNA
Source: RNAcentral